UAAAUGACCGAGGUGAGCCGCACAUUAAGCACUGCAUUCUCAAAAAAUUAAAACAGCAUCAACUUUGGAGAGCAGCCAAAAUGCCCGGAACAAAAGGUAAUAAAUCGGACAAGAAGUCAACUACUAAGCAACCUCAGAGUCCUAAAGAACAGCCGAAGAAAGGUGAUCAGAAAGGAGACGAUAACAAGAAGCAAGGAGGACAGCCGAAGGGAGAGAAGCAGUAACUUCCAGGCAUUUGUGAAGAUGGCUUUGGAGACUCUGCUGGGGUCCUGUCACCGUAAACAUGGGGGUCCACGGGGAAGACAGUGCUGAGCGUCCCUCCCCUCAGCACUUUACCUCCUCCACUGAUGGGAGCAGCUGUGCAGUCCUGCAACACAUCUGUAUGCCUCUCACAGGAGCAGAAACCUGAUCUCCAUCAUGAUCUGUUGCAUCCUGAUCCUCUCGACCUUUCUGUCCAACUCUUCCUCACACGAAAUUAGGAAAACAUUUAUCUGAAGACAAAAUUACUUGUCGCAACUUGCCCUUGAAACCCACCCUCGCCACUUAACAAUGCCAACUGUUUUUGUAAAUAAGGAAUGAAAUAAAAAAUAUAUUAAUUACA
Nematolebias whitei (Rio pearlfish) is the source of this 601-nucleotide long non-coding RNA. RefSeq lists it as uncharacterized. Lineage: Eukaryota; Metazoa; Chordata; Actinopteri; Cyprinodontiformes; Rivulidae. The record is from RefSeq and is a predicted model, not a curated record. The transcript has 4 exons.